AUGAAACGCUGGCGGCAUGCCUUACACAUGCAAGUCGAACGGCAGCACGGGGGCAACCCUGGUGGCGAGUGGCGAACGGGUGAGUAAUACAUCGGAACGUGCCCCGUAGCGGGGGAUAACCAGUCGAAAGACUGGCUAAUACCGCAUACGCUCUACGGAGGAAAGCAGGGGAUCGCAAGACCUUGCACUAUGGGAGCGGCCGAUGCCCGAUUAGCUAGUUGGUGAGGUAAAAGCUCACCAAGGCGACGAUCGGUAGCUGGUCUGAGAGGACGACCAGCCACACUGGGACUGAGACACGGCCCAGACUCCUACGGGAGGCAGCAGUGGGGAAUUUUGGACAAUGGGCGCAAGCCUGAUCCAGCCAUGCCGCGUGCGGGAAGAAGGCCUUCGGGUUGUAAACCGCUUUUGGCAGGAACGAAACGGCGCUCGCUAAUACCGAGCGCUAAUGACGGUACCUGCAGAAUAAGCACCGGCUAACUACGUGCCAGCAGCCGCGGUAAUACGUAGGGUGCAAGCGUUAAUCGGAAUUACUGGGCGUAAAGCGUACGCAGGCGGCUAUGUAAGACAGGUGUGAAAUCCCCGGGCUUAACCUGGGAACUGCAUUUGUGACUGCAUAGCUAGAGUCUGUCAGAGGGGGGUGGAAUUCCACGUGUAGCAGUGAAAUGCGUAGAGAUGUGGAGGAACACCGAUGGCGAAGGCAGCCCCCUGGGAUAAGACUGACGCUCAUGUACGAAAGCGUGGGGAGCAAACAGGAUUAGAUACCCUGGUAGUCCACGCCCUAAACGAUGUCGACUAGUUGUCGGGCCUUUACAGGCUCGGUAACGCAGCUUACGCGUGAAGUCGACCGCCUGGGGAGUACGGUCGCAGAUU
Molecule: ribosomal RNA, 870 nt
Filed under: uncultured bacterium
Lineage: Bacteria
Description: bacterial SSU rRNA
Rfam family: Bacterial small subunit ribosomal RNA
Source: RNAcentral